CCAUCCCUAGAGAUAGGGCUUUCCCUUCGGGGACAUAAGUGACAGGUGGUGCAUGGUUGUCGUCAGCUCGUGUCGUGAGAUGUUGGGUUAAGUCCCGCAACGAGCGCAACCCUUGAUCUUAGUUGCCAGCAUUGAGUUGGGCACUCUAAGGUGACUGCCGGUGACAAACCGGAGGAAGGUGGGGAUGACGUCAAAUCAUCAUGCCCCUUAUGACCUGGGCUACACACGUGCUACAAUGGAUGGUACAAAGGGCAGCGAAGCCGCGAGGUGAAGCGAAUCCCAUAAAACCAUUCUCAGUUCGGAUUGUAGGCUGCAACUCGCCUACAUGAAGCCGGAAUCGCUAGUAAUCGCGGAUCAGCAUGCCGCGGUGAAUACGUUCCCGGGCCUUGUACACACCGCCCGUCACACCACGAGAGUUUGUAACACCCGAAGUCGGUGGGGUAACCGUAAGGAGCCAGCCGCCUAAGGUGGGACAGAUGAU
RNAcentral lists this ribosomal RNA (481 nucleotides) under Bacillus sp. 51RA2. RNAcentral's name for it is "bacterial SSU rRNA". It matches the Rfam family "Bacterial small subunit ribosomal RNA", at positions 994 to 1475 of the family's 1533-position model. The record is from RNAcentral. Lineage: Bacteria; Bacillati; Bacillota; Bacilli; Caryophanales; Bacillaceae.